Long non-coding RNA from Carassius carassius (crucian carp), 934 nucleotides. RefSeq lists it as uncharacterized. The transcript has 2 exons. Lineage: Eukaryota; Metazoa; Chordata; Actinopteri; Cypriniformes; Cyprinidae. The record is from RefSeq and is a predicted model, not a curated record.
UUUAUAUUUAUUGAUAAAGUGUUUCCAUUAUUUGAACUGCCACAAAAGAAAUAUAACAUACCUCAAAUGGGGUCACCAAUUUCGCACAUCACUAUUCCAGCACAUCAACUCUAGAACACUUUAAGUCCUCUUGGGUGGAAGUCUUGGAUGUUUAAAUUACAGAGGAGCAAUGGGAGGCAGCCCUUAAACAGAUUUGUGGCUCAUCGUUUUGUGCAAAACAUGAAGGACUCAUACAGUUUAAAGUAAUACAUUGUUUACACUGGUCUAAACAAAAGCUCAGUAAGUUAUUCCCAAAUGUAGACCCUUCAUGUGAUCGUUGUGGGCGUGCACCAGCAUCACUGGCCCUGUGGCCCUUCAUCCUACUGGAGAAGUAUUUUUGUCAAGAAUAUUACAAAGGCCUAUUGAUCUAGAUCCCCUGAUGGUGGUUUUAGGUAUUGUUGAAUCGGAGAUAACUAAAAACAGGGCUGAACAAAGUAUAAUUGUAUUUGUUUGUCUACUAGCACAAAGUUUAAUAUUGUUAAAACUGGAAACGGAAAGAUGUGCCCACAUUUAUAAAUCUGAUGAGGGACAUAAUGAAACAUUUGGAUCUAGAGAAAAUUUUCAGAGAUAUGGCAACCUUUUUUUUAAUUACUUUGGUUAUUGAAUCUACAGGAAUUGUUCAACUGAUCAAUUGAGAUAAAUGAUUAAAUGAGCUAAGAAAAUGAUUAAAUCCAUACUUGGUGUUUAUUGGACUAAAACCCCCUACUUUUGUUUUAGAUAAAUGGUCUACUGUUGUUUUCUCUGUGUAUUUUCUUUUUGUUUUCUUUUCCUUUUUUUUGCUGUUCUGUAAUUAUAUGUUGGAUAGUUAUAUGUGAGAUAUUAGUUAAUAUGUGUUGGUGUAUAUGUGUUGCAUGGUUCUGUAAAAUCUAAUAAAUAAAGUAUUUUGUUUUUAAAA